Molecule: ribosomal RNA, 301 nt
Filed under: uncultured bacterium
Lineage: Bacteria
Description: partial 16S ribosomal RNA
Rfam family: Bacterial small subunit ribosomal RNA
Source: RNAcentral
CAGCAGCCGCGGUAAUACGAAGGGGGCUAGCGUUGCUCGGAAUGACUGGGCGUAAAGGGCGCGUAGGCGGCGGCCAAAGUCAGGCGUGAAAUUCCUGGGCUCAACCUGGGGGCUGCGUUUGAUACUUGGUUGCUUGAGUGGGGAAGAGGGUCGUGGAAUUCCCAGUGUAGAGGUGAAAUUCGUAGAUAUUGGGAAGAACACCGGUGGCGAAGGCGGCGACCUGGUCCUUUACUGACGCUGAGGCGCGAAAGCGUGGGGAGCAAACAGGAUUAGAUACCCCGGUAGUCCCUGUCUCUUAUAC